CCAGACUCCUACGGGAGGCAGCAGUGAGGAAUAUUGGUCAAUGGGCGCGAGCCUGAACCAGCCAAGUAGCGUGCAGGAUGACGGCCCUAUGGGUUGUAAACUGCUUUUGUAUGGGGAUAAAGUCAAUCACGUGUGAUUGUUUGCAGGUACCAUACGAAUAAGGACCGGCUAAUUCCGUGCCAGCAGCCGCGGUAAUACGGAAGGUCCGGGCGUUAUCCGGAUUUAUUGGGUUUAAAGGGAGCGUAGGCCGGAGAUUAAGUGUGUUGUGAAAUGUAGACGCUCAACGUCUGACUUGCAGCGCAUACUGGUUUCCUUGAGUACGCACAACGUUGGCGGAAUUCGUCGUGUAGCGGUGAAAUGCUUAGAUAUGACGAAGAACUCCGAUUGCGAAGGCAGCUGACGGGAGCGCAACUGACGCUUAAGCUCGAAGGUGCGGGUAUCGAACAGGAUUAGAUACCCUGGUAGUCCGCACAGUAAACGAUGGAUGCCCGCUGUUGGUACCUGGUAUCAGCGGCUAAGCGAAAGCAUUAAGCAUCCCACCUGGGGAGUACGCCGGCAACGGUGAAACUCAAAGGAAUUGACGGGGGCCCGCACAAGAAGGGC
RNAcentral lists this ribosomal RNA (603 nucleotides) under uncultured bacterium. Its description in RNAcentral is "bacterial SSU rRNA". It matches the Rfam family "Bacterial small subunit ribosomal RNA", at positions 331 to 935 of the family's 1533-position model. The record is from RNAcentral.